GAUGAACGCUGGCGGCGUGCCUAAUACAUGCAAGUCGAGCGAACAGACGAGGAGCUUGCUCCUCUGACGUUAGCGGCGGACGGGUGAGUAACACGUGGAUAACCUACCUAUAAGACUGGGAUAACUUCGGGAAACCGGAGCUAAUCCCGGAUAAUAUAUUGAACCGCAUGGUUCAAUAGUGAAAGACGGUUUUGCUGUCACUUAUCGAUGGAUCCGCGCCGCAUUAGCUAGUUGGUAAGGUAACGGCUUACCAAGGCAACGAUGCGUAGCCGACCUGAGAGGGUGAUCGGCCACACUGGAACUGAGACACGGUCCAGACUUCUACGGGAGGCAGCAGUAGGGAAUCGUCCGCAAUGGGCGAAAGCCUGACGGAGCAACGCCGCGUGAGUGAUGAAGGUCUUCGGAUCGUAAAACUCUGUUAUUAGGGAAGAACAAAUGUGUAAGUAACUAUGCACGUCUUGACGGUACCUAAUCAGAAAGCCACGGCUAACUACGUG
Molecule: ribosomal RNA, 497 nt
Filed under: uncultured bacterium
Lineage: Bacteria
Description: partial 16S ribosomal RNA
Rfam family: Bacterial small subunit ribosomal RNA
Source: RNAcentral